This 713-nucleotide ribosomal RNA is filed under the name Torresitrachia flindersi. RNAcentral's name for it is "partial 16S ribosomal RNA". The stretch from base 324 to 481 matches the Rfam family "Archaeal large subunit ribosomal RNA", at positions 1882 to 2091 of the family's 2987-position model. The record is from RNAcentral. Lineage: Eukaryota; Metazoa; Mollusca; Gastropoda; Stylommatophora; Camaenidae.
CACGAAUUCAUGUGAGCUAAUUAUUUUUAAUAUAUAUGUAGCAUAAUAUAUGUGCGAAAGAUGGUUAGGGGUGAAAGGCCUUUCAAAAAUGAGGAUAUCUUGAAGUAAAUGAAAAAAAUUUAGUUUUAAGAUAAUUACAAAGUUAUAAGAUUUUGUAAUGAAUUUAAUCUCUAUUAGUGUAGCAUGUUGGUAUAAAAACCUACAUAGGAAAUUAAUAACAUACGGUUAGUAGACUUAUUAAAUUAGUUUACGAUAAUAUAACUUUUAAUGAUCAUAAUGUUAGUAUAAGUACCUAUAAGAUAUUAAUAGUGAACUCGGCAAUAAAGCUUUCAACUGUUUAUCAAAAACAUAGCCACAUGUUACAUAUGUGGUGUCUUCUGCUCAAUGAUACUUAAAUAGCCGCAGUACCCUGACUGUGCAAAGGUAGCGUAAUCAUUUGUCUUUUAAUUGGAGUCGUGUAUGAAUGAAUGCAUGGAGGCUUACUUUACCAUUAAUAUAAUUUGAAAUUACUUAAAAGGUGAAAAUACCUUUAUCAAAAUAAUAGACGAGAAGACCCUUGAAAUUUUUAAACACGUUUUGUUGGGGCAACAUAGUAGAUAAACCUACUUAAUGUACAUGCAAUUUCUUUGUUUGAUCAAAUUACUCUAGGGAUAACAGCAUAAUUCUUUGGAGUUUGUGACCUCGAUGUUGGAUUAGGGAACUAUAACUUAAAA